UUAAAUUUUCACUCAAAGCCGCCAGGAGCUGGGUCUUUAAAAUAAGCUCCGUCUCGUUACAGAGUGAAAGUAGCAGUUCCUCCUGAAGGUCAGAGAUUGCAGCAUCUGAGGGCCUCUUCAAAAGAAGACGUAGUUGAUGAAGGCGUUCUGGAGCAGGACCAGAAAGACCACGACCAAGCAGCCUUGAGAUCUUAGGCAGCGUCUCCCUCAGACCAAAGAACUACAGACUCUUCACAACCUGCUCAAACUCUUGGUACAGGACCUCACCACACGGGUCAAGAAGGUUUCCGUCUCAUUUCUACUCUGAAGCUCACCUUCUCCUGCUCAAACUGCUGACAAAUGUUUCUGCUGCUCUAAAGUCUGGUCUCCAGAACUUCCUAAAAACUCUCAAAGUCUCUUCUGCUGCAGGUUGCUUUGUAGAACUGUUCCAGAAAACCUCACUAAACCACAUGGAGGGGCCUCAAGAUAGUCGUCCAAAUGAAACCAUACAAAAACCAAACUAGCACAACCCAAACGCUAAAGUCUCCUGCAGCCUACCAGAGAACCUCUGAGAACAGAGAAUCAGGACAGGAACUCUUACCUUCUGGACAACCAACGUUGGUUCACAAACAAGAAUACAGAAUGUGUCUGACCAAAAACCUCUAAAGACUCACUACAGCCAAGAUAAAGACACAGCUGCACCAAAUCCACUAAUCACUGCACACAUUAGCACCAUGUGCUAACUGUGGCUAAAGAACCACAUUUACCAAGACAACUAUCCAGUACAAAGCCCUAAAACACACCAAGAAACACAUUAAAGACGAUUUUACUGCUGGAAGCUGCAAGCCAACGCCUAAAGAACAAACUAAAGCAAUGGAGCCAAACCCGGUUCAGUGGUGAAGAGAAGCAGAGGAAAUGUUUGUCUGCAGCUAAAUAAAGCAGGAAGACACUGAGCUGCUCAGGUGUUCCUGAUAACACCAAGCUGCUCAGGUGUUCCUGAUAACACCAAGCAGCCACCUGGACAGCCAAUAGGAACACAGCUUACUGGAAGUCCAGAGGGCUGGGUUAGUGAAGGAAAUUUAGUUUAAAGUUGAAGCAGAAAGUUAACAAAGAAAGUUGAAAACCACCUUCUGAUACCUGAAAUCUCUGAGUUUUCACACAAAGAACACCUGAACAUGUCAAACUGGUUCCAUAGUAGAACCAUCAUUGUAAAAACGUCAUAGUAUGGUGUGUUGCUCAAAAAACAUUACGACCCGGCUGUCUAGGGUCACCGAGGAGCAACACAAAAACAGGACAAACGCUGGUUUCCAGGGGGUUAGGAGGAUAUUUAUUUGAAAGAGGAAGUUUACAACAACACAACAUGUGAGCAGAAAAAUCACAAAGUCUGUCUUUAGUUCAGCUGAAAAUAUUAGUUUUUGUCUUUUUUAUUGACCAAACUUUUCAGGAAGUAGAUGAAGAAUAAUUAAAGCUCUCAUGUAGAAGUCCAACUUAUUUUGGAUCCUUGUGGAGAGUUUAAUCUUAGAGUUUGUAAAGCUGUUGAGUUUUUAGAGUCACAUGGAUUGUUUUGACAUUUAAUAACCGAGUCCUGAAAUAAAAUUACAGUUGUG
Molecule: long non-coding RNA, 1586 nt
Organism: Amphiprion ocellaris (clown anemonefish)
Lineage: Eukaryota; Metazoa; Chordata; Actinopteri; Pomacentridae
Exons: 2
Source: RefSeq, a predicted model, not a curated record